UGAGGAAUAUUGCGCAAUGGGGGAAACCCUGACGCAGCAACGCCGCGUGGGUGAAGAAGGCCUUCGGGUCGUAAAGCCCUUUCGGACGGGACGAACGCUCCGCGGUGACAACCCGCGGAGUCUGACGGUACCGUAAGAAGAAGCACCGGCUAACUCCGUGCCAGCAGCCGCGGUAAUACGGAGGGUGCAAGCGUUGUUCGGAAUUACUGGGCGUAAAGCGCGUGUAGGCGGCCUUGCAAGCCAGACGUGAAAGCCCUCGGCUUAACCGGGGAAGUGCGUCUGGAACUGCUCGGCUCGAGUACGGGAGAGGGAGGCGGAAUUCCCAGUGUAGAGGUGAAAUUCGUAGAUAUUGGGAGGAACACCGGUGGCGAAAGCGGCCUCCUGGACCGAUACUGACGCUGAGACGCGAAAGCGUGGGGAGCAAACAGG
RNAcentral lists this ribosomal RNA (429 nucleotides) under uncultured delta proteobacterium. RNAcentral describes it as "bacterial SSU rRNA". It matches the Rfam family "Bacterial small subunit ribosomal RNA", at positions 355 to 776 of the family's 1533-position model. Lineage: Bacteria; Deltaproteobacteria. The record is from RNAcentral.